This 447-nucleotide ribosomal RNA is filed under the name uncultured bacterium. RNAcentral's name for it is "partial 16S ribosomal RNA". It matches the Rfam family "Bacterial small subunit ribosomal RNA", at positions 329 to 793 of the family's 1533-position model. The record is from RNAcentral.
GGCCAGACUCCUACGGGAGGCAGCAGUGGGGAAUAUUGCACAAUGGGGGAAACCCUGAUGCAGCGACGCCGCGUGAGUGAAGAAGUAUUUCGGUAUGUAAAGCUCUAUCAGCAGGGAAGAAAAUGACGGUACCUGAAGAAGAAGCCCCGGCUAACUACGUGCCAGCAGCCGCGGUAAUACGUAGGGGGCAAGCGUUAUCCGGAUUUACUGGGUGUAAAGGGGGCGCAGACGGCGAUGCAAGCCAGGAGUGAAAGCCCGGGGCCCAACCCCGGGACUGCUCUUGGAACUGCGUGGCUGGAGUGCAGGAGGGGCAGGCGGAAUUCCUGGUGUAGCGGUGAAAUGCGUAGAUAUCAGGAGGAACACCGGUGGCGAAGGCGGCCUGCUGGACUGCAACUGACGUUGAGGCCCGAAAGCGUGGGGAGCAAACAGGAUUAGAUACCCCUGUAC